This 924-nucleotide ribosomal RNA is filed under the name Triticum aestivum (bread wheat). RNAcentral describes it as "partial small subunit ribosomal RNA". The record is from RNAcentral. Lineage: Eukaryota; Viridiplantae; Streptophyta; Magnoliopsida; Poales; Poaceae.
AUGGAAAACGAGAUCAUUCUGUGCCUUGACGUUGCACAAGAACGCAGGCAGCUCUCGGGCGCAGAGCUGCAGCUGCGGAGGCAGCUUAAGCCGCGCGUUCUCGGCCUUGCUGCGAUCGACAGAGCCCGCAAAUGGCAGGCGUCGCGGAUCACCUGGCUACGUGCGGGCGAUGCCAGGACAGUGUUUUUCCAGGCAAAGAUCAACUCCAGGCGAUAGAAAAACUUCAUCCACGCCCUCCACAGCGGCCGCGGCUUCGCCACCUCCCAUGCCGACAAGGAACAGAUCAUCCAUGAGCACUUCAGCUCCACCUUAGGGACGGCGACGCCGCGUAGCUGCACCAUCAGCUGGGAUGCUGUCCGCCUGCCAACCCUGCCUGCGGCCGGCCUCGACAACUCGUUUACCGAUGAUCAGGUGUGGGCGGCGAUCUGCAAGUCUCCGCAGGAAAAGUCCCCGGGACCAGAUGGCUUCAACGGCUCAUUCUUCCGCUCCUGCUGGUCGAUCAUCAAGGACGACGUCAUGGCGGCCUUCCAUCAGUUCUACAACCUCGCGGGCCGCGACAUGUCCAUGAUCAACAACGCAACGAUCAUCCUCCUGCCGAAGAAGGACGGGGCAGCGACAAUCGCUGACUUCAGGCCUAUCAGCCUGAUCCAUUCAAUCACGAAGCUCAUCUCCAAGGUCCUCUCCAUUAGGCUCGCCUCCGUCAUCGGCUACAUCAUCUUGCCUGCGCAGACAGCUUUCCUGAAGACAAAGUGCAUACAUGACAGCUUCCUCUAUGUGCAAAACACUGUCAGGGCCCUACACCGCCGCAAGACACUGUGUCUCCUUGUGAAACUAGACAUAGCGAAAGCCUUCGACACCGUGUCCUGGGAGUAUCUCCUCAAAUUGCUUCAGAAGCUAGGGUUUAGCGCGCGUUGGAGGGACUAG